RNAcentral lists this ribosomal RNA (584 nucleotides) under Pseudomonas sp. StFRB428. RNAcentral's name for it is "bacterial SSU rRNA". It matches the Rfam family "Bacterial small subunit ribosomal RNA", at positions 102 to 683 of the family's 1533-position model. The record is from RNAcentral. Lineage: Bacteria; Pseudomonadati; Pseudomonadota; Gammaproteobacteria; Pseudomonadales; Pseudomonadaceae.
ACGGGUGAGUAAUGCCUAGGAAUCUGCCUGGUAGUGGGGGAUAACGCUCGGAAACGGACGCUAAUACCGCAUACGUCCUACGGGAGAAAGCAGGGGACCUUCGGGCCUUGCGCUAUCAGAUGAGCCUAGGUCGGAUUAGCUAGUUGGUGAGGUAAUGGCUCACCAAGGCGACGAUCCGUAACUGGUCUGAGAGGAUGAUCAGUCACACUGGAACUGAGACACGGUCCAGACUCCUACGGGAGGCAGCAGUGGGGAAUAUUGGACAAUGGGCGAAAGCCUGAUCCAGCCAUGCCGCGUGUGUGAAGAAGGUCUUCGGAUUGUAAAGCACUUUAAGUUGGGAGGAAGGGCAUUAACCUAAUACGUUAGUGUUUUGACGUUACCGACAGAAUAAGCACCGGCUAACUCUGUGCCAGCAGCCGCGGUAAUACAGAGGGUGCAAGCGUUAAUCGGAAUUACUGGGCGUAAAGCGCGCGUAGGUGGUUUGUUAAGUUGGAUGUGAAAUCCCCGGGCUCAACCUGGGAACUGCAUUCAAAACUGACAGCUAGAGUAUGGUAGAGGGUGGUGGAAUUUCCUGUGUAGCGGUG